This 74-nucleotide transfer RNA is filed under the name Candidatus Nealsonbacteria bacterium RIFCSPLOWO2_01_FULL_41_9. RNAcentral's name for it is "tRNA-Gln". It matches the Rfam family "tRNA". Rfam says of the family: Transfer RNA (tRNA) molecules are approximately 80 nucleotides in length. Lineage: Bacteria; Candidatus Nealsoniibacteriota. The record is from RNAcentral.
UGCGGGAUCGUCUAAUGGUAGGACAGUGGCCUUUGAAGCCAUCAACCCUGGUUCGAGUCCAGGUCCCGCAGCUA